This is a long non-coding RNA of Dermacentor silvarum, 553 nucleotides long. RefSeq lists it as uncharacterized. Lineage: Eukaryota; Metazoa; Arthropoda; Arachnida; Ixodida; Ixodidae. The transcript is spliced from 5 exons. The record is from RefSeq and is a predicted model, not a curated record.
AUAUUGAAAGACAUGUCUACGACGCACGUAUCUAGAUUCAAACUUAAAUUGUGGACACACUGUGAUGCAUGAGAAGGGACUUUAUGAAGCAUCUUUGGUCUUAAAAGCACAGAUCACAUAACAGUGCAUAUUUUGUAUAAAAAACGCACAACAUAGCCCAAGAGGAUACAUUGCAACCUUCAACUACGCAAAAAGAAGACCGCCAUGAACAUUUUCACAACGUGCGUUAUUCUUGCUACGCUGUUCAAUGUGAGGUGGCUCCCAGACGGUGAGGCAAGUGGUCUUGCUCUACCAACUUCAAAAGUUGGGCUGUUGCUGCUUUUAUUAUCGGGCUCGUGCCAAUCGCAAUCCAGACGCGCUGAUGACAAUGUAACAGUACAAGAACGAUUUUAUCGCAUGAACUGCUGGAGAAGUAGUUGCUAUCGCACCGGUUUGUGCCCACACCCUUGUGCUUGCCCACCAUGGUGGCAGCGACUAUUUGGCCAAUACACCUGUCGUUAACAAAAAAUUUCUCAAUCUGCAGCAAUUGAAAAUAAAGUGCUCAAAAAAGGUU